GACGAACGCCGGCGGCGUGCUUAACACAUGCAAGUCGAGCGGUAAGGCCCUUUCGGGGGUACACGAGCGGCGAACGGGUGAGUAACACGUGGGUGCCUGCCCUCAGCUCUGGGAUAAGCCUGGGAAACUGGGUCUAAUACCGGAUAUGACUCCAUGACGCAUGUUGUGGGGUGGAAAGCCUUGUGCGGCUGAGGAUGGGCCCGCGGCCUAUCAGCUUGUUGGUGGGGUGAUGGCCUACCAAGGCGACGACGGGUAGCCGGCCUGAGAGGGCGACCGGCCACACUGGGACUGAGACACGGCCCAGACUCCUACGGGAGGCAGCAGGUGGGGAAUCUUGCGCAAUGGGCGAAAGCCUGACGCAGCGACGCCGCGUGAGGGAUGACGGCCU
Molecule: ribosomal RNA, 388 nt
Filed under: uncultured bacterium
Lineage: Bacteria
Description: bacterial SSU rRNA
Rfam family: Bacterial small subunit ribosomal RNA
Source: RNAcentral